Long non-coding RNA from Sinocyclocheilus grahami, 449 nucleotides. RefSeq lists it as uncharacterized. The record is from RefSeq and is a predicted model, not a curated record. The transcript is spliced from 3 exons. Lineage: Eukaryota; Metazoa; Chordata; Actinopteri; Cypriniformes; Cyprinidae.
AUUAAAAAUAAAGGUGUCGUUUUUGACACCUGACACAAAAAAUCAGUGAGACAUGACACAAAAGCUAAAGAUAUUUGUCUAACGUGCAUAAAAAACAUCCAACAUGCCAAUGUUUUUAAAUAAUCGGCUGAGAUAUUGCUGCACAAAAUGUUGGCGCAUCCUUACCUUUGAAGUAAUGGUUAAAGUCACUGAGAUGUGGUCGAAUUUGUACUGUGUUACUUUAUUUCUCUGUUCACUAUGUUGUGCACUGUUAUUUUCCUUUGCUUAUGCCUCAGGGAAUGGGAGAACCUGAAUCAGUCCAAUGUCAGACGCAUGCACCACGCGCAGAAACUCAAUGGGGUCAUUGUGAAGAAGUCACAAGAAGCUAAACUAGUCCUGCUAAACAUGCCGGGACCACCUAAGAACCGCACUGGAGAAGAGACCUACAUGGAGUUCCUCGAGGUCUUGAC